CCAAGGAUUCCUGGGGAAGGUUCAUCCGCCCAGGGUAAGUCGGGGCCUAAGCCGAGGACGAUAGUCGUAGGCGAUGGAAAACAGGUUGAGAUUCCUGUACCGCCCAUAUGAGUGAUGCAUUGACACAGAAGGAUAGCAAGAGCCGGUUGAUGGUAGAGCCGGUCGAAGAGCGUAGGCUGCUUGGUAGUGAAGUACGCCAGGCGUAAGGCUGAAACUUGAUAGGGAGCGAAAAUAAGUAGCGAAGCAUGCGAAUCCCCGCUGGCGAGAAAAGAUGCUGGCAAUGAUAUGGGCGCCCGUACCGCAAACCGACGCAGGUGGGCGAGGAGAGAAUCCUAAGACGAACGAGAGAACUCUUGUUAAGGAACUCGGCAAAAUGACCACGUAACUUCGGGAGAAGUGGUGCCUCGAAAGAGGCCGCAGAGAAUAGGCCCAAGCGACUGUUUAGCAAAAACACAGGUGUUUGCGAAAGCGAGAGCUGAAGUAUAAGCGCUGACGCCUGCCCGGUGCUGGAAGGUUAAGAGGAGUUGUCAGGCAACGAAGCAGCGAAUCGAAGCCCCAGUAAACGGCGGCCGUAACGAUAACGGUCCUAAGGUAGCGAAAUUCCUUGUCGGGUAAGUUCCGACCCGCACGAAUGGCGUAACCUUGGGUACUGUCUCAACAAGAGACUCGGUGAAAUUGAAGUAUGUGUGAAGAUGCACAUUACCCGCGACUGGACGGAAAGACCCCGUAGAGCUUUACUGUAGCUUAGCAUUGGAUUUCGAUAAUGGAUGUACAGGAUAGGUGGGAGACUGGGAGACUGUGGCGUCAGCUGCAGAGGAGUCGGUGUUGGGAUACCACUCUUCUGUUAUUGAAAUUCUAACAAGCAGCCGUGAACCGGCGCUUGGACCGUGCUAGGUAGGCAGUUUGACUGGGGCGGUCGCCUCCCAAAGAGUAACGGAGGCGCCCAAAGGUUCCCUCAGAAUGGAUGGAAACCAUUCGAAGAGUGCAAAGGCAGAAGGGAGCCUGACUGCGAGACGGACAGGUCGAGCAGAGAGGAAACUCGGGCUUAGUGAUCCGGCGGUAUUGAGUGGAAAAGCCGUCGCUCAACGGAUAAAAGCUACCUCGGGGAUAACAGGCUGAUCUCCCCCAAGAGUCCACAUCGACGGGGAGGUUUGGCACCUCGAUGUCGGCUCGUCGCAUCCUGGGGCUGAAGCAGGUCCCAAGGGUUUGGCUGUUCGCCAAUUAAAGCGGCACGCGAGCUGGGUUCAGAACGUCGUGAGACAGUUCGGUCCCUAUCCAUCGUGGGCGAAGGAAUCAUGAAAGGAGCUGUCCCUAGUACGAGAGGACCGGGAUGGACGCAUCACUGGUGAAACUGUUGUCGUGCCAACGGCAUAGCAGGGAAGCGAAAUGCGGACGGGAUAAACGCUGAGGGCAUCUAAGCGUGAAGCCCACCUUAAGAUAAAGAUUCCCACAGCGUAAGCUGGUAAGACCCCUUGAAGACGACAAGGUUGAUAGGUCAGCGCUGGAAGCGCGGUAACGCGUGGAGGUUGCUGAUACUAAUAGGUCGAGGGCUUGAU
Molecule: ribosomal RNA, 1556 nt
Filed under: metagenome
Description: bacterial LSU rRNA
Rfam family: Bacterial large subunit ribosomal RNA
Source: RNAcentral